Molecule: long non-coding RNA, 439 nt
Filed under: Parus major (Great Tit)
Lineage: Eukaryota; Metazoa; Chordata; Aves; Passeriformes; Paridae
Description: lncRNA (ENSPMJG00000004753.1)
Source: RNAcentral
UGUGCGUGGCUCCUUUGGGACAGGGCGUGGUCAUGAGGGUGUGGCCCAAUGGGAUUGGGGGAGUUUUGGGGUGGGGCUUCCUGGAGGUGUGACCAGAGGGGGCGUGGCUUGAAGGGGUGUGUCCUCCUGACCACGCCCCUCUCCCUCCCCAGAUCUUUUACUACUCGACGUCCAUCUUUGAGGGGGCGGGGCUACAGGACCCGGCCGUCGGCACCAUCGGCACGGGCGUGGUCAAUGUGGCCGCCACUGCCCUGUCGUGGGCGUGGCCAGGUGUGGGCGUGGCCUCAGUGAAGCCCCGCCCCUGCAGGUGGUGCUGGUGGAGCGGGCGGGGCGCCGGCUGCUGCAGCUCGUGGGGCUCCUGGGAAUGAUGGUGUGCGCCGUCACCCUGGGCGUGGCCCUCAAGGUGAGCUGGGACCCCAAAAUUUACCUGGACCCCACC